GCUGGGUGUGGUGGCUCACGCCUGUAAUCCCAGCAAUUUGGGAGGCUGAGGUGGGUGGAUCACCUGAGGUCAGGAGUUAAAGACCAGCCUGGCCAACAUGGUGAAACCCCAUCUCUA
This is a non-coding RNA of Pan troglodytes (chimpanzee), 117 nucleotides long. It matches the Rfam family "Metazoan signal recognition particle RNA". From Rfam's summary of the family: The signal recognition particle (SRP) is a universally conserved ribonucleoprotein. The record is from Rfam. NCBI's taxonomy places the organism in Eukaryota, Metazoa, Chordata, Mammalia, Primates, Hominidae.